UCCAAGCACUUGCAGACAAAAUGAGCUUCAGAGAAGAGAAAAGCAACCUUUAGCUUUUUUAAGACCACCCGACUCAGAAAAGGAGAUUUCAAACAUACUCUCCUCUUUUAGGGUUCUAAUACUUUUAUCUCUCCUCUCUUUAAUGAUUUCCAGCGAAAUUUACGUCCUUCUCACUUAAUCUACCCACCACCAUGAUGCCAUCUCUCGUGCUCAUGCAUGUGUGAUCUGGCUGUUGAUGUGUAUGGAUGUCAUCAUAGAUGUCUAUAUUUAGUGAGGUGGUGAGAGAAUGAGACGCAAAAGCAGACCCACAAGCAAUCCUUGUUUCACUCUCAAAAGACUAACCAAAUUACCCAAAAAUAUUUAUUUAUGCCCUAACUUUAGCAUUUUGCCUUCGUCCCUUCUUUCUUGCCCUUUCCUUAGGGUUUCUUGUGGGUCUUUAUUUUUUCAUUUUCAUGUGUAAUUUUUAUCUUUUUGACCCAAACAUCUCUCCUUUGAUAUGCUUGCCUCUUGUCUGCAUAAUACAUAUAUACAUCUGAAUCUCUCCCAUCCCACCCUUAAUUUUUUAUAUAAACCAUUUCUCCUCCUCUCUCAAUCACCUUCAAUAUCUCCCUUUCUCCUCUCUCUCUGGAUCAUCAUCUCGACCUUCUUAUUUUGUUUAUUGAUUCUCAUCUUCCCUUUUGUAUUUUCAAGAAAUCGGCAUUUAGGGUUUCAAGAACAGUUAACCUCAAUUCCUCCUGAGGAGAGAGAGAAAACAAAAGAUAUCAUCAAUUUCAUUUUCUUACAUGCAAAUCAUAAUCCAUGCUUUAGAUUGUUUCUAUAGUCAUACAUAUGUGCUGUUAUAUCUGUUCAUGCAUGUCCAGGUGGAGAUCUAGCUAGAUAUAGCUUUACUUAAAAACAGAAUUAGACAUCCAUUUAGGGCAAUUAGUUUCAAUACAUAAUAACAUGUAUAUGCAUCAUGACAUAUAUGCAUAUAUGUUGAUGUAUUAUAUAUGUAUAUGCCUGGCUCCCUGUAUGCCAUACACUAAGUUCAUCGACCAUCGGCGACCUCGGUGGAUAGCGUAUGAGGAGCCAAGCAUAUUCUCAGCAUAGACAUAUUUUCUAAUUAUGUUAUAGUACUAAUUAAAUUGUAUUGAACUUGUUUUUUAGGAAUCUAUUUUAAUUGCUCCAUCCAAUCAUGUGAAGAAGAUUAGAAGGUACCUCAGUGAACCGUCUAGCUACCACCGAUGCUUCUUGUGGUCUCCAAAAUUCCACUGACGGAUAUUUUGGUGAAAUCUUACGAUUAGUAUUUUUCCACUACAAAUGUUUGUCAUGUCACAACACUUCUUACGAGGAUUUAUUCUGUGAUAACAUCAAUGUACAACUCCUUUGUUUAUAAAAAUCGUUAAUUAUAUUAAUAGCUAAUAUAUUCCCGUACGGUUCAUAUUCUUGUAUCGUUUCAAUCAUCUAAACUAUUAAGACUAAAGUACAAAUAAAUUUAAGCCCUAAUAGUUGCACAUAAAUUACAAUGAUAUGCCACUGAGUUACUAAACUGUCGUUUUAGACUUUUCCUAAACCAACUAAAAUAAAUUGACAUUACUUCAUCAUAAAUUACGUGUAUCUUAAACCUAAAAUCAAAUCUCAGAACACAAGUCGCCUCUUUCUCUCUGAUCACAUCUCUAUCUUUAAAAGAGAGAUCGAGAGAGCGAUUUUUGGCACAUCGGAAUUUCUUCCGACCAUAGCCGGACUGUUUUGUUUUAUAUUUCGAUCCAUGAUCGAUUUUAUGUUGUGAUUUUCAAUUUUCCAUCAGUUCCUUCAAGUUUAUAUUUCUUUCAUCGGUUGAAGUUGAUUAAAUAAAGUUUCAGUCUUUUGGAAUGGGUUUUGUUUGGAGUGAUAUCAGCAACAUCCCUUUGCUGUCAGUACUGAGUGUGGUGGUCUUAAUAUCCUCGCGGUGGUUUUUUCUGAUGAGGGUUGCGCUUUCCAAGCAGUUGAGCAUAACCGAUGAAGAGGAUGAUUUAAGCGACGAAGGUGAAACGGCCGGAGUUUUAGGUCAAGAUUCAGAUGCAUGAGAUUUGAACGGUGGUGAUCGUCGGAGUCGAAGACUGUUCGAAGCUGUGGGUAACAUGUUCAACUUGCUUCCUCACAUUGUGUUUUCGUUUUGGAUCUUGGUCUAAUUGUGGUAUAAUUGACCCAACACAUUAAUAAAACUUCUAUUGCCGGUAAAAAAACAGAAAGAAAAACCCAAAAUCA
Molecule: long non-coding RNA, 2226 nt
Organism: Raphanus sativus (radish)
Lineage: Eukaryota; Viridiplantae; Streptophyta; Magnoliopsida; Brassicales; Brassicaceae
Exons: 2
Source: RefSeq, a predicted model, not a curated record